This 450-nucleotide ribosomal RNA is filed under the name uncultured bacterium. RNAcentral's name for it is "partial 16S ribosomal RNA". It matches the Rfam family "Bacterial small subunit ribosomal RNA", at positions 354 to 796 of the family's 1533-position model. The record is from RNAcentral.
GUGGGGAAUAUUGGACAAUGGGCGAAAGCCUGAUCCAGCCAUGCCGCGUGUGUGAAGAAGGUCUUCGGAUUGUAAAGCACUUUAAGUUGGGGGGAAGGGCAGUAAGUUAAUACCUUGCUGUUUUGACGUUACCAACAGAAUAAGCACCGGCUAACUUCGUGCCAGCAGCCGCGGUAAUACGAAGGGUGCAAGCGUUAAUCGGAAUUACUGGGCGUAAAGCGCGCGUAGGUGGUUCAGCAAGUUGGAGGUGAAAUCCCCGGGCUCAACCUGGGAACUGCCUCCAAAACUACUGAGCUAGAGUACGGUAGAGGGUAGUGGAAUUUCCUGUGUAGCGGUGAAAUGCGUAGAUAUAGGAAGGAACACCAGUGGCGAAGGCGACUACCUGGACUGAUACUGACACUGAGGUGCGAAAGCGUGGGGAGCAAACAGGAUUAGAUACCCCGGUAGUCC